CCUACGGGAGGCAGCAGUGAGGAAUAUUGGUCAAUGGGCGGGAGCCUGAACCAGCCAAGUCGCGUGAAGGAAGAAGGUACUUAGUAUUGUAAACUUAUUUUGUCGGGGAACCAAGGCGGAGACGAGUCUCCGGAUGAGUGUACCCGAAGAAAAAGCAUCGGCUAACUCCGUGCUAGCAGCCGCGGUAAUACGGAGGAUGCGAGCGUUAUCCGGGGUUAUUGGGUUUAAAGGGUGCGCAGGCGGGAGAUCAAGUCAGCGGUAAAAUGUCGGGGCGCAACCCCGGCCGGCCGUUGAAAAUUGUUUUCUAGAGUUGGAGAGAAGUAUGCGGAAUUCGUGGUGUAGCGGUGAAAGGCAUAGAUAUCACGAAGGACUCCGAUUGCGAAGGCAGCAUACCGGCUCCAUACUGACGCUGAGGCACGAAAGCGUGGGGAUCGAACAGGAUUAGAUACCCUUGUAGUC
This 459-nucleotide ribosomal RNA is filed under the name uncultured bacterium. RNAcentral's name for it is "partial 16S ribosomal RNA". It matches the Rfam family "Bacterial small subunit ribosomal RNA", at positions 338 to 795 of the family's 1533-position model. The record is from RNAcentral.